This is a long non-coding RNA of Symphalangus syndactylus (siamang), 570 nucleotides long. RefSeq lists it as uncharacterized. NCBI's taxonomy places the organism in Eukaryota, Metazoa, Chordata, Mammalia, Primates, Hylobatidae. The record is from RefSeq and is a predicted model, not a curated record.
AGAUGUUUAUAUUGCAAAUCACCUUGAAAGAUAUAGUGACUCCAUCCAGAGCAAAGCACAGGCAUGCUUCCUGACUAUUAUGAGAGAGUCCAGUUUCCAAACCUCAGAGUUUCUUACCUAUAACAAACCCACCUCCUGCAUUGGUCUCAUCUGGCCAGCUCUGUUGGACUGCAGUGGCUGGAGCGCCACAGGACUUUAUUUUAGGGGAAAGUCUGAAAGGACAGCAGCUACUUGGGGGCACAGUCACAUGUCUAAUUGUCUACUAGGUAUCUCCAGCUGAGGCAGGAUUUGGGUCUGGAGGCGGAGAACAUAAGGCCAAUUCACGCUGACUUCUUAGAACUAAAUCAAAUGGAAACACGUCACCUAUGACAGGAAAUAUCCUCUCCAUUUACAUAUGGCGUACACCAACCUUUGCCAGAGAUUGCUGGGUCUGUCCGCACCCUGGCCGAGCGACGGAUGAAAGGAGUACUCAAACACAGGUAUCCAGUGAAAGAGCAGUUAAGGGACUGCCCGGCAGUAGGUGGCUGAAGAGUCAGCAGUCUCAAUAAGCUGGAGCUCUUUGCUUUUAUU